UACGUAGGGGGCAAGCGUUGUCCGGAAUCAUUGGGCGUAAAGAGCGCGUAGGCGGCCCGAUAAGUCCGCUGUGAAAGUCCAGGGCUUAACCCUUGAAUGCCGGUGGAUACUGUCGGGCUAGAGUCCGGAAGAGGCGAGUGGAAUUCCUGGUGUAGCGGUGAAAUGCGUAGAUAUCUGCAGGAACACCCGUGGCGAAAGCGGCGCGCUGGACCACUACUGACGCUGAGGAACGAAAGCUAGGGGAGCAAACAGG
This 253-nucleotide ribosomal RNA is filed under the name uncultured bacterium. RNAcentral describes it as "partial 16S ribosomal RNA". It matches the Rfam family "Bacterial small subunit ribosomal RNA", at positions 524 to 776 of the family's 1533-position model. The record is from RNAcentral.